GACGAACGCUGGCGGCGUGCCUAACACAUGCAAGUCGAGCGAAGCUUUUAAAGUGAAUUCUUUCGGGAUGAAACUUUAAAUGUCUUAGCGGCGGACGGGUGAGUAACGCGUGAGAAACCUGCCUUUCACGAAGGGAUAGCCUCGGGAAACUGGGAUUAAUACCUUAUGAUACUUCUUCUUCGCAUGAAGAGUAAGUCAAAGCGUAAAGCGGUGAAAGAUGGUCUCGCGUCCCAUUAGUUAGUUGGUGAGGUAACGGCUCACCAAGACUGCGAUGGGUAGCCGGCCUGAGAGGGUGAACGGCCACACUGGAACUGAGACACGGUCCAGACUCCUACGGGUGGCAG
This 344-nucleotide ribosomal RNA is filed under the name uncultured Bacillota bacterium. RNAcentral describes it as "bacterial SSU rRNA". It matches the Rfam family "Bacterial small subunit ribosomal RNA", at positions 28 to 351 of the family's 1533-position model. Lineage: Bacteria; Bacillati; Bacillota. The record is from RNAcentral.